UUACGGCCAUAUAACAUUGAAACACCGGUUCUCAUCCGAUCACAGAUGUUAAGCAACGUUGAACUUAGUCAUUACUUAGAUGGGUGACCGCUCGAGAAUAACAGGUGUUGUAA
This is a non-coding RNA of Acanthosepion pharaonis, 113 nucleotides long. Lineage: Eukaryota; Metazoa; Mollusca; Cephalopoda; Sepiida; Sepiidae. The record is from the annotation of a GenBank genome assembly.